This 232-nucleotide unclassified non-coding RNA is filed under the name fungal sp. Its description in RNAcentral is "partial contains 5.8S ribosomal RNA, internal transcribed spacer 2, and large subunit ribosomal RNA". Lineage: Eukaryota; Fungi. The record is from RNAcentral.
CGCACCUUGCGCCCUCUGGUAUUCCGGAGGGCAUGCCUGUUUGAGUGUCAUAAAUACCUCACCCUCUGGGUUUCCAGGGACGUGGACUUGGGUGCUGCCAUUUGUGGCUCGCCUUAAACGCAUCAGUGACAGCGGUGUAAUACGUUUCACCAAACGCACUAUAAUUCCCUCGGGAUGCAUUAUGCACUUUUAUCAUGACCUCAAAUCAGGUAGGGCUACCCGCUGAACUUAA